UUUUGUUUGGAAGGGAAGAGUUGCUACGGGAUGUGAUUCUAACGUUUCUAUCACAGCUAACUCGACUCCUUGCGUUUUUGUAGGUGCUCGUUCGAACGAGAAAAACCAACGAGAUUCUACAAAGUUUUGUUUCUGUGUCGAUCAAGUUUGCCGGUAUGUGAUAUUCAGUUUUCUAUCACAGCUAACUCGAUCCUUGCGUUUUUGCAGGUGCUCGUUCGAACGAGAAAAACCAACAAGGUGCCACAAAGUUUUGUUUCUGUGUCGAUCACGAUAUUAACUUUUAACUCGACUCCUUCCGUUUUACAGUGCUCGUUCCAACGGGAUGCCACUUACCUGGCCUGAAUGGUUACCGCUGCUGAGACGCUCAAGGAUUGGGUCGAGCUCAUUCGGUUUUGAACCGGGCUCGAGAGAUUCACGAUUGGGUCUUCUCGCGGCAGUCUCUCGUGCUGAGCUCGCGGCUCUACCUCUCGAAUCUCCUUGUGGAGAUGUACGGCAGGUGUGGGAGCAUCGAG
RNAcentral lists this long non-coding RNA (512 nucleotides) under Selaginella moellendorffii. RNAcentral's name for it is "long non-coding RNA (SMOE_LNC000488)". Lineage: Eukaryota; Viridiplantae; Streptophyta; Lycopodiopsida; Selaginellales; Selaginellaceae. The record is from RNAcentral.